Molecule: non-coding RNA, 92 nt
Organism: Acanthosepion pharaonis
Lineage: Eukaryota; Metazoa; Mollusca; Cephalopoda; Sepiida; Sepiidae
Source: the annotation of a GenBank genome assembly
UUAACGAAGCACCGGUUUUCAUACGGUCACCGAAGUUAAGCAAUGUCAAGCCUGGUUAGUACCUAGAUGGGUGACCGCUUGGGAAAGCCAGA